This 404-nucleotide ribosomal RNA is filed under the name uncultured bacterium. RNAcentral describes it as "bacterial SSU rRNA". It matches the Rfam family "Bacterial small subunit ribosomal RNA", at positions 32 to 408 of the family's 1533-position model. The record is from RNAcentral.
AAUCAACGCUGGCGGCGUGCCUCAGACAUGCAAGUCGAACGAGAAAGUUUCCUUCGGGGGACGAGUACAGUGGCGUCCGGGUGAGUAACACGUGGGUAAGUUUACCUUUGGGUGGGGAAUAGCAGCCGGAAACGGCUAUUAAUACCGCAUAAUGCAGCGGCUCGACAUCGAGACAGUUGUUAAAGCGGGGAUCUGACAAGGACCUCGCGCCUAAAGAGAAGCCUGCGUCAGAUUAGCUAGUUGGUAGGGUAAUGGCCUACCAAGGCUGUGAUCUGUAGCCGGCCUCGAGAGGGCGGUCGGCCGACACUGACACUGACACACAGGUCAGACUCCUACGGGAGGCAGCAGUCGGGAAUUUUGGGUCGAAUGGGCGCAAGCCUGACCCAGCAACGCCGCGUGAAGGA